GUCCUCCGCCGGCUGCAAAACAAACGCCAUUGUUAUUGGAGGCAGGGUUGUUAAGCAACCAGUAUGUGAGCCGUACAUUGGAUGUGAACGACGAUUAUGCAAAUAAGAAACGCUGUCAGGUGUCGAAAGGCACUGUAAUGGCAUCCCUGUGGCAGCUAGAGUUUUCAGCAAGUCAGGUGAAACCAAAACAACAAAAAACACAUGCUACAUCUCCUCACUUCAUCCAAAACAGCAGCAUGGAGAGAGGCAGCAGGACGCUGACUCUUCAUCAUUCUGGUAUCUUCCAGACUCAGGCUGGUCCCUGCACUCUGCUAUGAAGGCCUGAAGCUGGGACACUGGCACCUUUUCUCGCUGGUGAUGCUGGAGGAACCAUUGUACAGUCAAAAAUCACAACCAGCUUACAAACUGAAGUUGGACGCCAUUGAUGACAGAUCGUGUGCAGAGGAUGAGAGAGGUGAAACAGGCAAGGAUGACCACUGAGUCAAACCACAAGAGGAGAUAAUCGUUCUUCCCAGCUGGAAAUGAGAGCCACACAUCGAAGAAACAGAUGUCUGAAGGUCAUCAGAUUUUCAUCUUUGAAGGUGACCAUCAUUUCGUUGCUCAGGCCAAAAGACACUAACUGCUCGGAAAAGAGGAAAAUAGUGUGGGUUCAUGAAGAAGUACUUGAGCCUUCGUCUGAAGUCGUCCACCACCUUUGACUCCAGACUGCGAGUGCUCCAUCUGUGGUGGCUAUUUUGCCCCCUCUCCUCUGAUCUCACUAAAGGUUGAGAGUCCUCCAUUAUA
This is a long non-coding RNA of Toxotes jaculatrix (banded archerfish), 783 nucleotides long. RefSeq lists it as uncharacterized. The transcript has 5 exons. The record is from RefSeq and is a predicted model, not a curated record. Lineage: Eukaryota; Metazoa; Chordata; Actinopteri; Toxotidae.